CGAUUAGGUAGUUGGUGGGGUAAGGGCUACCAAGCCGACGAUCGAUAGCCAAGCUUGAAAGAGCUGAUGGCCACAUUGGGAAUGAAAUCUCCCAAGUAGCGUUACGCUACCAGCAGUCGAGAAUCUUAGUCAAUGCUCGAAAGAGUGAACUAGCUAACUGAAAUCAUGGAUGUGUCAUCUGUGAUAACGUAAGGGAAAAUAAUGAUGUUACCUUACUAUUAGUGUCGUCCAAGCACUGGUGCCAGAAGACUCGGUAAGGCCAGAGACGCAAACGUUAGUCGUCUUAAACAGGCGUAAAGGGUAUGUAGGCUGCUUUAAGUAUCUUAAAUUUUAAAAAUCUACUCUUUUUAUUGACUAUCCUCGUUCAAAAGUGAUUCUUAGAACGUAUGGUACCUUAAUAUUAAGCUAAAAUUAAAAAUAAGAUCAAUUAAAGCUAGAAUCAAGAAGAGGUUAUAUUAUAUAAUACUUAGUGAAGGAUUGAAAUCUUUAUAUAUUAAGUGGAAUACUAAUGGCGAAAGCAUUUUUCCAAUACUGAUUGACGCUGAGAAACGAAAGGGAGGAUAGGGAUUAGGAUUAGAUACCCUCGUACCCCUCUCUGUCAACGAUGAAUGGUGGUUACUAGAUUUAUAAAGUCUAGAGACGAUGUUAACACGAAAACCAUUCCGCCUUGUGAGUACGACUGCAAAGUUGAAAACAAAAAAAUUAGUCGGUCUCGGAGCAAACGAAUUGAAGCAUGUUAUUUAAUACGAUACCACGCGUAAAACCUUACCAGUUCUUGUAUACUAACUUUUUACUAAUAUAUUUCAAAUAAAAAUAAAUUCAAAAAAGUAGAAUCUAAAAAAAAAUAAACUAAAAAUAG
Molecule: ribosomal RNA, 859 nt
Filed under: Alloclavaria purpurea
Lineage: Eukaryota; Fungi; Basidiomycota; Agaricomycetes; Hymenochaetales; Rickenellaceae
Description: partial small subunit ribosomal RNA
Rfam family: Bacterial small subunit ribosomal RNA
Source: RNAcentral